UUGUGUUUUUGUGUGUUUUUCUGUUGUUUGUU
RNAcentral lists this small RNA (32 nucleotides) under Arabidopsis thaliana (thale cress). Its description in RNAcentral is "ATSL306870". The record is from RNAcentral. Lineage: Eukaryota; Viridiplantae; Streptophyta; Magnoliopsida; Brassicales; Brassicaceae.